UGAUUCAUAGUAUAAUGGUAGUACAGCAGAUUUUGGUUCUGCUAGUAGGAGUUCGAAUCUCUUUGAAUCAA
Molecule: transfer RNA, 71 nt
Filed under: virus sp. ctPYc18
Description: tRNA-Gln
Rfam family: tRNA
About the family: Transfer RNA (tRNA) molecules are approximately 80 nucleotides in length. Their secondary structure includes four short double-helical elements and three loops (D, anti-codon, and T loops). Further hydrogen bonds mediate the characteristic L-shaped molecular structure. tRNAs have two regions of fundamental functional importance: the anti-codon, which is responsible for specific mRNA codon recognition, and the 3' end, to which the tRNAs corresponding amino acid is attached (by aminoacyl-tRNA synthetases). tRNAs cope with the degeneracy of the genetic code in two manners: having more than one tRNA (with a specific anti-codon) for a particular amino acid; and 'wobble' base-pairing, i.e. permitting non-standard base-pairing at the 3rd anti-codon position.
Source: RNAcentral